This 377-nucleotide ribosomal RNA is filed under the name uncultured bacterium. RNAcentral's name for it is "bacterial SSU rRNA". It matches the Rfam family "Bacterial small subunit ribosomal RNA", at positions 523 to 898 of the family's 1533-position model. The record is from RNAcentral.
AUACGUAGGUGGCAAGCGUUGUCCGGAUUUAUUGGGCGUAAAGCGAGCGCAGGCGGAAGAAUAAGUCUGAUGUGAAAGCCCUCGGCUUAACCGAGGAACUGCAUCGGAAACUGUUUUUCUUGAGUGCAGAAGAGGAGAGUGGAACUCCAUGUGUAGCGGUGGAAUGCGUAGAUAUAUGGAAGAACACCAGUGGCGAAGGCGGCUCUCUGGUCUGCAACUGACGCUGAGGCUCGAAAGCAUGGGUAGCGAACAGGAUUAGAUACCCUGGUAGUCCAUGCCGUAAACGAUGAGUGCUAAGUGUUGGGAGGUUUCCGCCUCUCAGUGCUGCAGCUAACGCAUUAAGCACUCCGCCUGGGGAGUACGGCCGCAAGGCUGAA